RNAcentral lists this ribosomal RNA (253 nucleotides) under uncultured bacterium. RNAcentral's name for it is "partial 16S ribosomal RNA". It matches the Rfam family "Bacterial small subunit ribosomal RNA", at positions 524 to 776 of the family's 1533-position model. The record is from RNAcentral.
UACGGGGGGGGCAAGCGUUGUUCGGAAUUACUGGGCGUAAAGGGCUCGUAGGCGGCCAACUAAGUCAUACGUGAAAUCCCUAGGCUUAACCGUGGAACUGCGUCUGAUACUGGAUGGCUUGAGUUCGGGAGAGGGAUGCGGAAUUCCAGGUGUAGCGGUGAAAUGCGUAGAGAUGCGGAGGAACACCGAUGGCGAAGGCAGCCCCCUGGGUAGACACUGACGCUCAGGCGCGAAAGCGUGGGGAGCAAACAGG